RNAcentral lists this ribosomal RNA (468 nucleotides) under uncultured bacterium. RNAcentral's name for it is "partial 16S ribosomal RNA". It matches the Rfam family "Bacterial small subunit ribosomal RNA", at positions 28 to 507 of the family's 1533-position model. The record is from RNAcentral.
GACGAACGCUGGCGGCGUGCUUAACACAUGCAAGUCGAACGGAAAGGCCCUGCUGUUGUGGGGUGCUCGAGUGGCGAACGGGUGAGUAACACGUGAGUAACCUGCCCUUGACUUUGGGAUAACUUCAGGAAACUGGGGCUAAUACCGGAUAGGAGCACCUGCUGCAGGGUGGGGGUUGGAAAGUUUCGGCGGUUGGGGAUGGACUCGCGGCUUAUCAGCUUGUUGGUGGGGUAGUGGCUUACCAAGGCUUUGACGGGUAGCCGGCCUGAGAGGGUGACCGGCCACAUUGGGACUGAGAUACGGCCCAGACUCCUACGGGAGGCAGCAGUGGGGAAUAUUGCACAAUGGGCGGAAGCCUGAUGCAGCAACGCCGCGUGCGGGAUGACGGCCUUCGGGUUGUAAACCGCUUUCGCCUGUGACGAAGCGUGAGUGACGGUAAUGGGUAAAGAAGCACCGGCUAACUACGUG